GACGAACGCUGGCGGCGUGCCUAAUACAUGCAAGUCGAACGCACAGUUUAUACCGUAGCUUGCUACACCAUAGACUGUGAGUUGCGAACGGGUGAGUAACGCGUAGGUAACCUGCCUGGUAGCGGGGGAUAACUAUUGGAAACGUUAGCUAAUACCGCAUAAUAUUCAUUAUUGCAUGAUAAUUAAUUGAAUGGUGCAAUUGCACCACUACCAGAUGGACCUGCGUUGUAUUAGCUAGUAGGUGAGGUAACGGCUCAACUAGGCGACGAUACAUAGCCGAACUGGGGAGGUGGUCCGCCAACCUUGGAACGGGGCACGGGCCAGACUCCUACGGGGAGGAGCAAGAGGGGAACUUCGGGAAUGGACGAAAGGCUGACCGGGCAACGCCGGGGGAGGGGAGGAGGGUCUCGGGUCGGAAAGCUCGGUUGUAAGGGAAGGACGGGUGGUGGAGUGGAAAGUGCACGCUGUGACGGUAUCUUACCAGAAAGGGACGGCUAACUACGUG
RNAcentral lists this ribosomal RNA (505 nucleotides) under uncultured bacterium. RNAcentral describes it as "partial 16S ribosomal RNA". It matches the Rfam family "Bacterial small subunit ribosomal RNA", at positions 28 to 507 of the family's 1533-position model. The record is from RNAcentral.